GUCAGCUUGGCCGAGUGGUUAAGGCGUAUGACUUGAAAUCAUAUGGGUUCUCCCGCGCAGGUUCAAACCCUGCAGCUGACG
RNAcentral lists this transfer RNA (81 nucleotides) under Mortierella polycephala. It matches the Rfam family "tRNA". Rfam says of the family: Transfer RNA (tRNA) molecules are approximately 80 nucleotides in length. Lineage: Eukaryota; Fungi; Mortierellomycota; Mortierellomycetes; Mortierellales; Mortierellaceae. The record is from Rfam by way of RNAcentral.